RNAcentral lists this ribosomal RNA (473 nucleotides) under uncultured bacterium. RNAcentral describes it as "partial 16S ribosomal RNA". It matches the Rfam family "Bacterial small subunit ribosomal RNA", at positions 28 to 507 of the family's 1533-position model. The record is from RNAcentral.
GGUGAACGCUGGCGGCGUGCCUAAGACAUGCAAGUCGAGCGGGCCGCGGGGUUUUACUCCGUGGUCAGCGGCGGACGGGUGAGUAACGCGUGGGUGACCUACCCGGAAGAGGGGGACAACCCGGGGAAACUCGGGCUAAUCCCCCAUGUGGACCCGCCCCUUGGGGUGUGUCCAAAGGGCUUUGCCCGCUUCCGGAUGGGCCCGCGUCCCAUCAGCUAGUUGGUGGGGUAAUGGCCCACCAAGGCGACGACGGGUAGCCGGCCUGAGAGGGUGGCCGGCCAGAGGGGCACUGAGACACGGGCCCCACUCCUACGGGAGGCAGCAGUUAGGAAUCUUCCGCAAUGGGCGCAAGCCUGACGGAGCGACGCCGCUUGGAGGAAGAAGCCCUUCGGGGUGUAAACUCCUGAACCCGGGACGAAACCCCCGACGAGGGGACUGACGGUACCGGGGUAAUAGCGCCGGCCAACUCCGUG